RNAcentral lists this ribosomal RNA (492 nucleotides) under uncultured bacterium. RNAcentral describes it as "partial 16S ribosomal RNA". It matches the Rfam family "Bacterial small subunit ribosomal RNA", at positions 29 to 507 of the family's 1533-position model. The record is from RNAcentral.
AGUGAACGCUGGCGGUAGGCCUAACACAUGCAAGUCGAACGGCAGCACAGUAAGAGCUUGCUCUUACGGGUGGCGAGUGGCGGACGGGUGAGGAAUACAUCGGAAUCUACUUUUUCGUGGGGGAUAACGUAGGGAAACUUACGCUAAUACCGCAUACGACCUACGGGUGAAAGCAGGGGAUCUUCGGACCUUGCGCGAUUGAAUGAGCCGAUGUCGGAUUAGCUAGUUGGCGGGGUAAAGGCCCACCAAGGCGACGAUCCGUAGCUGGUCUGAGAGGAUGAUCAGCCACACUGGAACUGAGACACGGUCCAGACUCCUACGGGAGGCAGCAGUGGGGAAUAUUGGACAAUGGGCGCAAGCCUGAUCCAGCCAUACCGCGUGGGUGGAGAAGGCCUUCGGGUUGUAAAGCCCUUUUGUUGGGAAAGAAAAGCAGCAGGUUAAUACCCCGCUGUUCUGGCGGUACCCAAAGAAUAAGCACCGGCUAACUUCGUG